CAAUAAGCAAAAUCUGCUUAUAGCUCACCAAAAACAAACAACAGCCAUGACAAAAACCGUGUACAAUCUACACCAACAGCAGUGGGAAAACCACCAUCCAACCCGUUUUCUGCUUCAACUUCACAGUCAUGUGCUUUCCCACACGAUUUUGGUACGAAAUCUUCUAGAAAGAGGGUGAGGUGUUAUCCCCAACAUCCGAAUUUCGUGAUUUUGGGGAUAACACGUACGGAUUCAUACCUGUUUGGCAAAUUUUCGUUGGUUCUUGGAAAAAUGAUCCAUUUCCCCCAAUGGUUGUUGGCCAUCUGUUGAAAAUCCGUUCAAGAAAAUCAAUAGGGGUGCUAUUUGUGAGGAUUCUCCUCUUUUGAAUUCAAAACGAACCCUCAACCCCCCCUUCUAUAAAUAGCUCUCUUUAGGGUCUGAAGAAGGGGGAUUUUCUUUCUUUUGGUAACUAACUAUUCCUAGGCUUUAGGGUUGAGAAAAUUAGGGGAGAAGAUUGGAGGUUUGAAGAAGGAGAAAUCUUUAGGUUGGUUUGAAAGGCUAGCUCGAAAGUUGGGGUAUGGGAAAUCUGAAAAUAAGAAUUUGUUUUUUCUGCUAAAAUUUUCUUGUCCAUUUUUCUGGGAAGCUAGUCGAUCAAUUGGAGAGUUUCCCAAUCGACAAUAAGAGCUCCCAGUAGGGACAAUUUUGCUGAUAGCUCGAGUCCCUUUUUGCCGCUCCCUGAAAGGUAACAUCCUAUUCCUUUGAGCUCUCGAGUGCUUCUGUUUUAUCUCAUUUUUUUGAAGUCGUAAAGAAAUAAAUUUUCCGUGUGAUUGUAUGCUGGUUUGUUUGCUGGUAGAUGACUGUGAUAGCCAUAGGUUUCAUUCAUGGUAUGUUAUGCAGUUCAAACGACAUUGUUGAUGAAGUUUUCGAUUUAAUACUCUCAUUUUUUGUAUACUGUUUUAGGUCUAUACAGCUGAUCUACGCAGCUGAUUUUCUUAAAGUUUCAUUUUUUUUCGCUAAUUUCAAUUUGAUGGUGGUUUGUCACGGCUGAUUUGAUGGUGAAAAGCAUCAUGGUUUAAUCAUUUUGGAUUGGUGGUAAUUUGUUAAAGCUGGUCUCACUGUUAAAGAUUUUUACUCUAGUCUCGUUCGAUGGUUUCGGAUGAGGGUGUUUUGUUAUGUUAUUAGUAUUUGACAUCGUUUGUUUAUUGGGACUUUCUCUUGAAUUCUGUGCCUUCUCAGGUGACGAAGGACAACGAGCAUACGUCAAAAUAAAAGUUAGUAAAGAUCCUUUGAUUCCCCGAUGACUGUCUGAUUAUUGAAGACUCAUUUCUGAGUUCAUCGGGAAGGGGAGGAGGAUAGAAAUACUACGCCUCACCGUUUUUGUUAAAAUAUUUUGCUAAAAUGUUCCUGCUGUUUUGUCCUCAUCACUUCCUUUGGUUAGUUUGGAAUGUCUUUGGAUUAAAACCGUUUUUUUAAGCUAUGGUAUGAAAUCUUUGCUCUUUUAGUUCCCUGUUUAAGUUUGUAGUUCUUUUUGGGUGUCACUGCUACUUUAGGACGCCGCCUAUGAUCUUCUUCUGAUUUUUUUCGAAACAUUACAUGACUCGUAGUUAAAUACGUUUUUUAGUUUUCCGUGUCGUCGCCCUUUUUUAAGCUUCAGGUUACUAUAUUAGCAUAGGGGAUGCUCUUAGCCGAAAAAGUGCUUCUUGCUGCAUAUUUAAGUUGUACCUUUUUAUUCUCUUCAUUUUUUAAAAAUAAAAAAUAAAAAUAUAUAAGCUCUAAAAUAUAUAAUCUUUGACUUCGUCUUGCUCUAAAAUGUAAAUGACGUGUUGAUCAUAAAAUGGUUUGAGGCUCAAUGCAAUAGAUGUUAUGUUUGAUUGUUUUGUUCUCCCAGUUUUUUUUUUCACUAUAAGAUGUUGGUACACUAUUUUCCAUGUUUUGUUUGGGACAUUAUUUGCAAAGAAUAAUAGGUCCUUCUGUUUUUUUUUUUUUUUAUCAAGAUAUGAGAAUUUUCUGUUUUUUUCCUAAUUGAUCUCAUCGCUAGCCGGAACAGUUUUUCGCAUUAUGUGUAAGGUUUUAAACCUAUCUCCUACCAUUACUUAUUUAACUCCAUACAAGAGUAUGGAUGAUAUGUCUUGCUGAAAAAACCUUUUAAAUAAUGUUCAUCAGUAAUAAUGUUUACAUUUCGUAGCAUUCCCUUUUGUAGAAUAUAGUCUUUGAUUAAUCAGACCUAAGAUUCUACCCAGGCACCCCAUGAUUAUUCCUUCCAGCCUUGUAUAUUUUUUCUCCUUAAUUUGAUUGAUUGUUGUUCCUGUUGCAACACUUAAUUUUUUUAUUUAUUUUUUAUUUUUUUUUGCAUAUGAAUCUAUCGUGGAGUCCAAAUAGGACUCUUUCCCCUUUACAUUUCGGAAAGGGCCAGUGAGGCCCACCCUUUGAGUCAAGCCUGAAAGAAAUCCAAGAAUCCAUUGCAUGGCAUACGGAGUUGCAAGGAGUCGAAAGGAAAACAGGGCAAUGGAGUCAAAACUCAUUCCUGAGUCAUCGUCUUCAUUCGGAUCCUGUGCAUCUUGGAGAUAGGCUAAACUAUUUUGAUACUCGUCUUCUUCUUCGUCUAGUCUUGGAGUAUUAUUAGUUGUAUUACUAAUAUCUGAAACUACUUUGUCUGUACUUGUACUGGCUCUAUCAAUAUGUUUGUCCUGACCUUGGUUACUAAAAAACCUUUCUAGUGUCUAUUGUAAUAUGAUCUCAAUUUUUUCUUUUUUC
This is a long non-coding RNA of Capsicum annuum, 2733 nucleotides long. RefSeq lists it as uncharacterized. The record is from RefSeq and is a predicted model, not a curated record. NCBI's taxonomy places the organism in Eukaryota, Viridiplantae, Streptophyta, Magnoliopsida, Solanales, Solanaceae. The transcript is spliced from 2 exons.